AUGAGGGGAUCCCAAGUGCUAGCUCGUAAGAGUUAGCUGUUUCUUUGUCUAAAAAACAGAGAGAGUAAGAGCUGGGUAAGACGGGUGCCAGCCGCCGCGGUAAUACCUGCAGCUCAAGUGGUGGCCGCUAUUAUUGGGCCUAAAACGUUCGUAGCCGGUUUAGUAAAUGCUUGGGUAAAUUGUGUCGCUUAACGAUACGAAUACCGGGUAGACUGCUAAACUUGGGACCGGGAGAGGUUAGAGGUACUCCUGGGGUAGAGGUGAAAUUCUGUAAUCCUGGGGGGACCACCAGUGGCGAAGGCGUCUAACCAGAACGGGUCUGACGGUGAGGGACGAAGCCCUGGGGCGCAAACCGGAUUAGAUACCCGGGUAGUCCAGGGUGUAAACGCUGCUCGCUUGAUGUUAGCUGGGCUCCGAGCCCACCUAGUGUCGGAGAGAAGUCGUUAAGCGAGCUGCCUGGGAAGUACGGUCGCAAGACUGAUGAGGGGAUAUGAGGGGAUGGGAGCACA
This 509-nucleotide ribosomal RNA is filed under the name uncultured euryarchaeote. Its description in RNAcentral is "bacterial SSU rRNA". It matches the Rfam family "Archaeal small subunit ribosomal RNA", at positions 370 to 883 of the family's 1478-position model. Lineage: Archaea; Methanobacteriati; Methanobacteriota. The record is from RNAcentral.